UCCCUGGUGGCUCGGAUGGUAAAAGCAUCUGCCUACAAUGCAGGAGACCCAGGUUCCAUCCCUGGGUCGGGAA
Transfer RNA from Ovis aries (sheep), 73 nucleotides. It matches the Rfam family "tRNA". From Rfam's summary of the family: Transfer RNA (tRNA) molecules are approximately 80 nucleotides in length. Their secondary structure includes four short double-helical elements and three loops (D, anti-codon, and T loops). The record is from Rfam. Lineage: Eukaryota; Metazoa; Chordata; Mammalia; Artiodactyla; Bovidae.